Molecule: ribosomal RNA, 484 nt
Filed under: uncultured bacterium
Lineage: Bacteria
Description: partial 16S ribosomal RNA
Rfam family: Bacterial small subunit ribosomal RNA
Source: RNAcentral
AUUGAACGCUAGCGGGAUGCUUUACACAUGCCAGUCGAACGGCAGCGCGGACUUCGGUCUGGCGGCGAGUGGCGAACGGGUGAGUAAUGUAUCGGAACGUGCCCAGUAGCGGGGGAUAACUACGCGAAAGCGUAGCUAAUACCGCAUACGCCCUACGGGGGAAAGCAGGGGAUCGUAAGACCUUGCACUAUUGGAGCGGCCGAUAUCGGAUUAGCUAGUUGGUGAGGUAACGGCUCACCAAGGCGACGAUCCGUAGCUGGUUUGAGAGGACGACCAGCCACACUGGGACUGAGACACGGCCCAGACUCCUACGGGAGGCAGCAGUGGGGAAUUUUGGACAAUGGGGGCAACCCUGAUCCAGCCAUCCCGCGUGUGCGAUGAAGGCCUUCGGGUUGCAAAGCACUUUUGGCAGGAAAGAAACGUCGCGGGCUAAUACCCCGUGGAACUGACGGUACCUGCAGAAUAAGCACCGGCUAACUACGUG